Molecule: long non-coding RNA, 2244 nt
Organism: Felis catus (domestic cat)
Lineage: Eukaryota; Metazoa; Chordata; Mammalia; Carnivora; Felidae
Exons: 2
Source: RefSeq, a predicted model, not a curated record
GAAUGAAGUUUCAGAAAGGGGGAAAAAAGUAUCUUUGAAUGCUCUGCUAGGGCUCUCUUGGGCAAAGAGAAGGGGCCACCGUUUCUUCAUUAGGGUACACGCAGUGCUCAGCCCCGGAGCCUGAGAGGAAGUGAGAUAUGGCAGGGAGGGCGGGGUCGCACUGGAGCCCCCAUCUGCUCUUGGGUGAACCAGGGCGUGGUUGGCUCUCUUAGGCUUAAUUAUCUCUACCCCACACUUGCACGAUUAAAUAACGUAAAGUGCCUGGCAUGUGGUAGGUCCUCAGUAGAAGUGCCCGCUUGGCCCCUGAUUUAUUUUGUGUGAAUGAAAUGCAAUUACAUACAUAAAGGAAAAUGUCACAGCCCAGAAAAAAGCCAGCCAUAAACGGUGUCUAAAUGCACAGGAAGCAGUGUUGUAUCUUGGGGACCAUCCUGGACUUGCCAAGAAUUUUAGGAUCUAGAUUUAUUAGCCUUGACACAGACUAGCUGGGCAUCCCCACUCUCGACCUCAGCUUUGUUACCUGUGAAAUGGAAAGUCGGAUGCUAGAAUCCUCUAGAAGGCAUUCAGCUUCCAGUAACUGAAAACCCACUGAUUAAUGCCUCAACCCAGGGAUUAAAUCCGGCUUGCGACCUGCUUUGGUGCAGCCCAUGACCUGAGAAUAUCUUUACAGUUUAAACAGUUUUAAAAAACCCAAAAAGGAAAUAUUUCAGGACAUUUGAAAACUAUAUGAAAUUCAAAGUCCAGUUUCAUCAAGUUCUGUCGAAAGCCAGUCACACUCCCUCGUUUACAUAUUGCUUAUAUCUGCUUUCCCACUACAACGGCAAGGUUGAGCCGUUGACUUGAAAAGCUGAAAGUAUUUACUGGCUGGCCAUUUACAGAAAAAAAAUUUCCCACUCCCGUCAUAACCAGUAAAGAUAUUUAAUGAUCUCACAUAAGAAGAAACUCAAAAGGACACGACUCUCGGUCUCCAUCCCUGAAGUUCUCUUGGCCUUUUCCUCCUGGUCACUAGAUGGCAGCUUCAGUUCAAUGAGUUACAAUCUACAUCGAAUACAGUAAAGAACAUGGAGAAAAGACUUGCUAUGGCUUUUUUUGGCCAGGAAAAAAAACAAAAAAAAAGCCCCCUAUGGCAGCUUCCCUUAUCCCAUUGGCCAGAGCUAGGUCACAUGACAAACCCUGGGUCCCUCACUGGGAGGGGCCAAACUGCGGUAGCCCAAUGGGCUGCAAAGGACUCACUUUUCUCGAGAAGUGGGGACAAGGGCCAUUUACACGAAGCCAGCGUCCUGGUCGCACAGAAGAAAGAGGGCAAAGGGCACGGUGUCAGCCCGAGUCACAAAGACGCCUUGCACCUCUGGGUAGACGCAGGAUCCUUUUUAGAACUCAAAUCUGAACGCUCUUUGUCGACUUGAAGCCACCCCGGGAACGCAGGGUGUGUCUGUGAGUGACUUCCUACAUUUAGGAUUGUUUGACCUUCCCUUCCUCCUUUAAGUUUUGCUUGGUUGGUUUGGGGCAUUGCUAUGAAUGAUGUUUCCCGAUGAAAGUCCUUCCCUGAGGCCCCACCUGUGCCUCCAGGUAGGAGAAGGUCGAGGAGUAGGCUGGCGGCAGGAGAAUUUCCCAGGGCACCGUCACCGUCCAGCCAGCUCACAGCUGAACCCAAACAGAGGGGGCGCUCCCCAGGACGGUUAGACUCAAGUCCUGCCCAGCCUCGGAGAGAAGGGGCGAACGCCUGAACUGUUUUGUAGAAAUGCAUCCUGCAAUGCGGCUACUGUUGUACAGAGCCAGGGGGGAGAGGAAGCAGAGCUUCAAGUAUCAAAUGGGAACAAUUUUGAAGGCUUCCUGCCUGCACUGUGGCAUCUGGAAAGCUGGAAACCCAGUUCCCUGGACUCCUCUGCAUCGGGGACCCACGAAUCCAUUGUGUUCACUCGGGACUCAGAGGUGGAAAUGAGUUGUGGAAGAAGGUGGCCGCAGGCUGGGAGAGUGGCCUUUUUGAAAAGCACAAUGUAUCUGGUCUUGGGUCUUCCGGGGAAAUACAGGAUUUUUGCACAUUCAGUCUCAAACCCCAUGGGUGGCAAUUUGCAGCUGUGAGCAACAGAGGGCUCUCUGCAAACACAGUGGGCUGGAGCAUUUGGGGGCUCUGUUGACCCGAGGGUUGUCCAGUACUGUCCUGGGUCUGAGUAGCAUUCAAGCUUGGUUCUUUGGUCAUGUCCAAAAGUCCGUAAGGAACCCAGUAAAUAAACUUGAAUAGAUGCC